RNAcentral lists this ribosomal RNA (430 nucleotides) under uncultured Flavobacterium sp. RNAcentral's name for it is "bacterial SSU rRNA". It matches the Rfam family "Bacterial small subunit ribosomal RNA", at positions 356 to 783 of the family's 1533-position model. The record is from RNAcentral. Lineage: Bacteria; Pseudomonadati; Bacteroidota; Flavobacteriia; Flavobacteriales; Flavobacteriaceae.
GAGGAAUAUUGGACAAUGGGCGCAAGCCUGAUCCAGCCAUGCCGCGUGCAGGAUGACGGUCCUAUGGAUUGUAAACUGCUUUUAUACAGGAAGAAACACUACUUCGUGAAGUAGCUUGACGGUACUGUAAGAAUAAGGAUCGGCUAACUCCGUGCCAGCAGCCGCGGUAAUUCGGAGGAUCCAAGCGUUAUCCGGAAUCAUUGGGUUUAAAGGGUCCGUAGGCGGUCAGAUAAGUCAGUGGUGAAAGCCCAUCGCUCAACGGUGGAACGGCCAUUGAUACUGUCUGACUUGAAUUAUUAGGAAGUAACUAGAAUAUGUAGUGUAGCGGUGAAAUGCUUAGAGAUUACAUGGAAUACCAAUUGCGAAGGCAGGUUACUACUAAUUGAUUGACGCUGAUGGACGAAAGCGUGGGUAGCGAACAGGAUUAGAU